RNAcentral lists this ribosomal RNA (396 nucleotides) under uncultured bacterium. RNAcentral's name for it is "partial 16S ribosomal RNA". It matches the Rfam family "Bacterial small subunit ribosomal RNA", at positions 523 to 918 of the family's 1533-position model. The record is from RNAcentral.
AUACGUAGGUGGCAAGCGUUGUCCGGAAUUAUUGGGCGUAAAGCGCAUGUAGGCGGUUUGGUAAGUCGGUCGUGAAAAUGCGGUGCUUAACGCCGUAUGGCGACCGAAACUGCUGAACUUGAGUGCAGGAGAGGAAAGGGGAACUCCCCGUGUAGCGGUGAAAUGCGUAGAUAUUGGGAAGAACACCGGUGGCGAAGGCGCCUUUCUGGACUGUGUCUGACGCUCAGAUGCGAAAGCCAGGGUAGCGAACGGGAUUAGAUACCCCGGUAGUCCUGGCCGUAAACGAUGGGUACUAGGUGUGGGAGGUAUCGACUCCUUCCGUGCCGGAGUUAACGCAAUAAGUACCCCGCCUGGGGAGUACGGCCGCAAGGCUUAAACUCAAAGGAAUUGGCGGGG